AGCAAAGUCACUCUUUGGCCCGGGACACCUGUUUGGCAGCCUCACUAUGGGAGGCCCAAAGUGAUGUGGGGAGCUGUGUGCCAUUAAGGAUGAACCAUGACCAGUUCUACCAUCAUGUAAGAAUAACUCAGCCAUUUAGAAAAUCAUUCAGGGAUUAGAAAUAUCAGAAAACUUUUGGGCUUUUGUAAUAGGUCAUGUAGAGAUACAGUGAUAUGUUGGUGAUAGGUCAUGUAUAGAUAUAUGUUUGUAAUAGGUCAUGUAUAGAUAUAUGUUUGUAAUAGGUCAUGUAUAGAUAUAUGUUUGUAAUAGGUCAUGUAUAGAUAUAUGUUUGUAAUUGGUCAUGUAUAGAUAUAUGUUUGUAAUAGGUCAUGUAUAGAUAUAUGUUUGUAAUUGGUCAUGUAUAGAUAUAUGUUUGUAAUAGGUCAUGUAUAGAUAUAUGUUUGUAAUAGGUCAUGUAUAGAUAUAUGUUUGUAAUUGGUCAUGUAUAGAUAUAUGUUUGUAAUAGGUCAUGUAUGGAUAUAUGUUUGUAAUUGGUCAUGUAUAGAUAUAUGUUUGUAAUUGGUCAUGUAUAGAUAUAUGUUUGUAAUUGGUCAUGUAUAGAUAUAUGUUUGUAAUAGGUCAUGUAUGGAUACAGUGAUAUGUUUGCCCGAGAUGUGUUUCCGUCAGAGGCAGACAAUACAGUCCUACACUUACUUGUCUAUACA
Eriocheir sinensis (Chinese mitten crab) is the source of this 704-nucleotide long non-coding RNA. RefSeq lists it as uncharacterized. The record is from RefSeq and is a predicted model, not a curated record. The transcript has 3 exons. NCBI's taxonomy places the organism in Eukaryota, Metazoa, Arthropoda, Malacostraca, Decapoda, Varunidae.